This 1071-nucleotide ribosomal RNA is filed under the name Elliottinia kerneri. RNAcentral describes it as "SSU rRNA". It matches the Rfam family "Eukaryotic small subunit ribosomal RNA", at positions 41 to 1121 of the family's 1831-position model. The record is from RNAcentral. Lineage: Eukaryota; Fungi; Ascomycota; Leotiomycetes; Helotiales; Sclerotiniaceae.
AGAUUAAGCCAUGCAUGUCUAAGUAUAAGCAACUAUACUGUGAAACUGCGAAUGGCUCAUUAAAUCAGUUAUCGUUUAUUUGAUAGUACCUUACUACAUGGAUAACCGUGGUAAUUCUAGAGCUAAUACAUGCUAAAAACCUCGACUUCGGAAGGGGUGUAUUUAUUAGAUAAAAAACCAAUGCCCUUCGGGGCUCCCUGGUGAUUCAUAAUAACUUAACGAAUCGCAUGGCCUUGUGCCGGCGAUGGUUCAUUCAAAUUUCUGCCCUAUCAACUUUCGAUGGUAGGAUAGUGGCCUACCAUGGUUUCAACGGGUAACGGGGAAUUAGGGUUCUAUUCCGGAGAAGGAGCCUGAGAAACGGCUACUACAUCCAAGGAAGGCAGCAGGCGCGCAAAUUACCCAAUCCCGACACGGGGAGGUAGUGACAAUAAAUACUGAUACAGGGCUCUUUUGAGUCUUGUAAUUGGAAUGAGUACAAUUUAAAUACCUUAACGAGGAACAAUUGGAGGGCAAGUCUGGUGCCAGCAGCCGCGGUAAUUCCAGCUCCAAUAGCGUAUAUUAAAGUUGUUGCAGUUAAAAAGCUCGUAGUUGAACCUUGGGCCUGGUUGGCCGGUCCGCCUCACCGCGUGCACUGGUCCGACCGGGUCUUUCCUUCUGGGGAGCCGCAUGCCCUUCACUGGGUGUGUCGGGGAACCAGGACUUUUACUUUGAAAAAAUUAGAGUGUUCAAAGCAGGCCUAUGCUCGAAUACAUUAGCAUGGAAUAAUAGAAUAGGACGUGUGGUUCUAUUUUGUUGGUUUCUAGGACCGCCGUAAUGAUUAAUAGGGAUAGUCGGGGGCAUCAGUAUUCAAUUGUCAGAGGUGAAAUUCUUGGAUUUAUUGAAGACUAACUACUGCGAAAGCAUUUGCCAAGGAUGUUUUCAUUAAUCAGUGAACGAAAGUUAGGGGAUCGAAGACGAUCAGAUACCGUCGUAGUCUUAACCAUAAACUAUGCCGACUAGGGAUCGGGCGAUGUUAUCUUUUUGACUCGCUCGGCACCUCACGAGAAAUCAAAGUCUUUGGGUUCUGGGGGG